UAUUGUUCAGUCUUUCCAUCCAUUUUAAGUCCUCUUUUAUGUUAACAAAAGUUUUUAAAAAUUCCACAUAGAGGUUUUACCAUUUAGAUUUAUUUCCAAAGACCUUCAGUUUUUGUAGUAAGAACGAGUGGGCUCUGUUUUUAUUACAUUUUAAAUUGGUCGUUGCUAGUGAAUAGACAUACUACUAACUUUGUAAAUUAGACCUGUGUCUAACAAACUUGUUAAUGUCUUUCUAAAUAGUUUUAUUGUUUUACCAGUCUGUUAAGGAUGCCAUGACAAUAAGCAUCCUUAUGUUGUUCCUGAUUUUAAAGGGAAUAUUUUUAAGGUUUCAUUAUCGAGGAUUAUGUAUGCUCCAGGUUCAGAUUGAUAGUUUAAGUUGGGUUAAAAAUAUUAAUAGUCUAUUCUAUUACUAAUUUGCCAAGAGUUUAAAUUAAUUUUUAAGUAUUAAAACUGCAGUUACUUUUGUACCAGCCUAAUAUUAAUAGGUGUUUAAUUUGAUCCAAUGUUUUUUGUGUAUCUGUUGAGAUGAUUUUUCUCCUUUUAUAUUUGAAAUAUAAUAUUUCUUCUUCUUUUUUUAAAAUUAUAGGUGGGGUCAUCUCCCUGUGUUACCCAGGCUGGUCUCAAACUCCUGAGCUCAUGUAGUCUCCCCCUGCCUUGGCCUCUCAAAGUGCUGUGAUUACAGGAAUGAGCCAUCACACCAAGCCAUAUUUCCUCUUUUCUUAGAGAAGUUUCAGAGACAUGGGUCUUGCUAUGUUGAUCAGGCUGCAGUGCAAUGGCUAGUUACGGGCAUGAUCAUAGUGCACUACAGCACUGAACUCCAGGGCUCAAGUGAUUCUCCUGCCUAAGCAUCCCUAGUAGCUAGGACUGUAGGUGGGUGCCAUCACAGCUGGAUAAUGUUUUCUCUUUUAAAAUAAUAUUUUAGGCCAGGUGUGGCGGCUCAUGCCUAUAAUCCCAACACUUUGGGAGUCUGAGGCGAGCUGAUCACAUGGUCAGGAGUUCAAGACCACCCUGGCCAACAUGGUAAAACCCUGUUUCUACUGAAAAAAAAAAAAAUACAAAAAUUAGCUGGGCAUGAUGGUGAGUGCCUGUAGUCCCAGCUACUCGGGAGGCUGAGGCAGAAGAAUUACUUGAACCAGGGAGGUGGAGGUUGCAGUGAGCUGAGACUGCGUCACUGCACUCCAGCCUGGUGACAGAGUGAGACUCUGUCUCAAAAAAAAAAAAUAUAUAUAUAUAUUUUUUAUAUAUAUACAAAAAUAUAUAUAUAUAAUAUAUAUAUAAUAUAUAUUUUUUAUAAAUAUAUAUAUGAGUAAAAUGAAGUGGUUAAAAAAUCUGAAAUGUAAAAUUGAAAUUUUAUGGUAUUUAUUUAUGUAUUUAUUUCCUCUGCUGGACUUGUAUCUAAUAUCUUAAAGGUCGAGACUAGUUAUUUUAUUCAUCAUUGUUUCCCUAGCACAGUGAAGGUGUUCAGCUCACAUAUAAGGGUUAGAUGGAUGAACAAAAGAACAAGCAGACAGGCAAUGAUUGAGAUAAGAGAAAGGGAUUAUGCCAAAAGGAAAAUAAUGAAAGCAAAAGCCUUGUUAACUGUUAAUUUCAUUAUCCACAUGGAGUCCUGGGUGGAGCCUUAGGGAACUCCAGAAAUGACUGUAAUGAUUCUCCAAUGAUUGAGGGAAAUAUAUUCAAUAUUUCUAUUGCAUUAGACCUGCAAUAUUUUGCAAAUUUAUUGCCUUUUUUUAAUCUCUCUCUUUAUAAAGAAGCUUUUUAAAUUCUCCUCAUUGGGGAUGUUCUUUCUUUUGAAUUCAUUCAGUCACUUAAUAUUUAUUGAUUACCUGCUAUAUACUAGGCUCAGUGCUACUGCUGGGAACUAGUUAGAUAGAGCCUGUCUCUACACUGGAGGAUCUCUCUGGCUGGCGGGGGGUAUAAACAUGUAAACAAACAAAUAUGGCAGUGAUUUUUAAAUAUCUAUCCUAAUUCCCUUUCGUGUUUUUCCACUAUAAAACCCACUUUGUAAAGGAGAUCGGCUGUUUAUUGGGGUUUUAACAGUUGUGUUUGGUAAACAAAAGAAUAACUUGAAGUAACUGAGGAUUGGAUGCUGGAAGGAAAUUAUCUGAGCUACCACUCUUGGUUUAUUUACUACUAUCUCUUCCUCACUUUCAACUUUCAAUAUUGAAGGAGUGUAUUCCUGAGUUCGACAGGUAAAAAAUAUGACUAGUUUAUGUGCUUUAAUUAGUUAGAAAUUAGAAAUUUAGGGUCCAGACACAGUGGCCCAUUCCUGCAAUCCCAGCACUUUGGGAAGCCAAGCUGGGAAGAUCACUUGAGGCUAGACUUUGAGACCAGCCUGGGCAACAUAGCAAGAUCCUAUCUCUACAAAUAAAUUUUAAAAACCAGCCAGGUGUAGUAGCAUGCACCUAUAGUGCCAGCUACUAGGCAGCUGAGGCAGGAGUAUUGCUUGAGCCCAAGAGGCUGAGGCUGCAGAGAGCUAUGAUCUCACCACCGCACUAUACUCCAGCCUGGGUGACAGAGGGAGACGCUGUUUCUACCAAAAAAAAAAAAAAGAAAGAAAGAAAUUAGAAAUUUAGGAAGUAUGUUAAUCUCUUCUGAUUUUAAAGCAAAGUAUCAUUUUACUCAUAAAUGUUUAAGUAUAUAUAUAUAUAAACAUAUAGGACUUUAAAAUCAUGACCAUAAUAUUGGUAUCACACUCACUGAAGUUAAUAAUCUAAUAAUGGGUGCAUUUUAAACAUUCAGAUGAAUAUGAAACAACCAGAGUCUAAGUAAAGGAAUUUACCAUGUUCCAAUUUACCAGUUGGGGAAUAGCUUGGCUUUUAACCCCAAAUUUAGUGGGUUAUUUUUUUUAAUUUUAGCCAGAAACAUUUAAAAAUCAUCCCUUCCGUGUCCCCUCUUUUAAAACAGAGUAACAAAGUAAGCAGCAUGGAUGCUCUUAGUUUCUAAUUUUAUUCUCAGUGUACUUUACAAUAUCCUGUGGGUGAUGGGAAUGAAUAUGUGUCCUGCAAAACCUGGUAUUUUCUUAUAUGAUGAAUAUUUUCCAUUUUAUUUAAAAGGCAAAGCUGUUGGGAUAUCCUUUGCAUUAUAUUCUGAAAAUAAAAAUCAGAAUCCCUGCUGCUAAUGGUGAGAUUGAUAUUCUAAUACCCUAGUUCUAAGCCUAGCUUUGAAUGCUUUGAAUAAGAAAGUCAUUCCUCAUGACUUCUAACAGGUAAUGCUUUGUUUCACUGAUUCUCUUUCAGGGAUUUUCUUUUUGAGGCUUUUCUUUUUUCUUUCUUUUUUUUUUUUGAGUCAGAGUUUGGCUCUUGUUACCCAGGUUGGAGUGCAAUGGCACAAUCUCAGCGCACCGCAACCUCCGCCUCCUGGGUUCAGGCAAUUCUCCUGCCUCAGCCUCCUGAGUAGCUGGGACUACAGGCACACACCACCAUGCCCAGCUAAUUUUUUGUAUUUUUAGUAGAGACGGGGUUUCACCAUGUUGACCAAGAUGGUCUCGAUCUCUUGACCUCGUGAUCCACCCGCCUCAGCCUCCCAAAGUGCUGGGAUUACAGGCGUGAGCCACCGCACCCGGCUGAGGCUUUUCAAACUAAAUAGAAGCCAGUACUCUUGAGCCACAUUAAACCUUGUUUCAGGCCUGGAAAGACUUGCAUGUUUUUUAAAAAAAGAGACUAGGGAAGAAACAGUUACUGUCAUAUGUUUUACUAGACUAUAUAUUAAACCAGAAUUAGUCAUCUCAGCCACAGAGCUCCAUUCUGCUCUUUGUCUAAUUGUGUUAAAGAUUUUAAUCAAUUUGUAAGCUGUAGCAAGUUCAGUUUAUAAAAUAAACUGAUGGUACUUUAUGAGCAUUUACUACUUGCCAUCGGUCUCCUAUGCACUAAAGAAGCAAAAAGAUGACUUCUAUAUCAGAAGUCUUUGUUAGUAUUUCACCUAAAAAAUUUAAAUAUAUUGCUUUUUAUUACUUCCUGUUUGAACCUACAAUCAAGUGGAGAAAUACCAUGUGAAAGAUUGUACAUGCUGGCUUCUUUGGUUGAAGACAUUGUUUGCCUUCCAUUUUGUAUCUAGGGGUAAAUUUUUGAGACUUGCCUGUUUACCAUUAAAAUAAGAUUUAAAUUAUAAAAUGCCUUUAGACUCUGCUUUUUUGGUAUGUGGGGUUUUUUUUGUUUUUGUUUUUUUGCCUGUCCAGUGAAGUUCUGAGCUAUACUUGCCCAAAACUCUUACUAUACCAUGAGUUCUGAAUUAUAGAUAAGCAGUUAGAGAGUAAACAGGGUAGAAUUGGUAAACUAGAAGGACCCAGAGGAAUCAUCUGGUACUUUUCCUUCAUAUAGGAUGAAGGAAACCUCUCCAGAAAGUGAUCCUUUUCUCUAAAUAAUUUUCAAAGAGAGAUGUUUAUUCAUUUAUGUAAUGCUUUUUUUUUUUUUUUUUAAAUUCUGAGCCCGGUGCUGUUUAACUCUCUCUCUCUCUUUAGUCACCCUCAGUCGGGAAUUGUUUCUCAGUCUUUGACUUUUAUAAUGUUGAUACUUUUGAAGAUGACAAGCUAGUUAUUUAGUAGAGUGUUUCUCCAUUUGAGUUUGUCUGUGGUUCUUCAUGAUUAGAUUUAGAGUACGUACCAUGAGGAAGAAUAUUAUAGAAGUGAUGCUGUUUUUCUCAUCCCAUCCAUUCUAUCAGAUAGAGUAUAAUUUUGAUUUGUCUCAUUGGCUGGUGAUGCUCACACUGAUCAUUUGACCAAGGUGAUUUCUGCAAGGUUCUUUAUGUAAAGUUUCUCUAUUCUCCUUCAUGACUAAUAAGAAUUUCGUGGGGAAGUACUUUGAAAUUAUGUAAAUAUCCAAUUACUAAUAAAAAUUUCGAUUUAUUUCAUUGAUCUAUAGAAUCAUGAUUUUCUGUUUUAUUCAGUAUUAUAUCUUAUUCAACCAUUAUUUAUUUUAAUGCUGAAAUUUUCCCCUACUUGGCCACUGGGAGCUCCUAGAGAAUGGCUUUUUUGUCCUUUUGACAUGUUUCCAUUAUUCUUCAAGCAUAACUUGCUUUUGGAACAGCAAGAUAUUCCAAGCUCUUUUUGUGCUUUCCUGGCACUAGCCCUAGAAUCAAGUAUUUCUCCAAGUAGCCCUUUUUAGUAGAUACUGAUCUAUAUGGAUAUAUAUGGCUCUUUUUAGUAGACAUUGAUGUAUAGCAACCAAGCCCUGUGCAGUAGAUUUGCUCAUUGCUUCUGGAUAUGUAUUGUUGCUUUUAGAUCUUCUCAGCAAACAGAACUAGAGAAUAAAUACACACACACACACACACACACACACACACGUAUUUACACCUGUAUUUCUUCUACCUCACAGAGCUCAUUUUAGUUUUUUAUCUCUCUGGAUCCUAAACUUACUGGUAAAUCCCCCAGUGUUUGCUAACUAGCUGCCUCUUUGUGUGGUUGCCCUGUUAACUCUGUUUAAAUGCCACAUGCCAGAUUGCACCCUUCCAUGGAUGCCUUUCUGGCGUUCUGCUUAGGCUCCAACACAUCCGUGUCAGGCUGCCACUCUUCAUGAAUGCCCUCAUCAUCUUGCUGGGGCUAAGUUUCCCCAAGCACAUGAAAAACUGGACUGUUUUCAUGAGUUUGGAUACCAAAGAAAAUUGAAAGACUGAAAAGUACUUAAGAGUUUACUUUAAAGGGAGGAAACUGGAGCAGAAGUUCUCCAAAUGUGAUCUCUAGACUCAGAACAUCAGCAUUCCCUGGGAGCUUCUUGGAAACUUAGAUUCAUAGGCUCCAUCUCAGACCUGCAUCAGAAACUCCAGGUACGGGGCCCAGCAAUUUGUGCUUUAACAAGCUCUCCAGGGAAUUCUGACACAUACUAGUGUUUGAGACCCACUAUCCAAGGGAGAGACAGAGUCUCAACUUAGUAUUCUGUUCUGCAUCUAGGUUAUCUCUGACAUAAUGAAGACUCCCUGGUUGUCAAGGUCUUGGAACUAUUUUUUUUUUAAUUAUUAUUUUUUUUAGAGACAGGGUUUCACCAUGUUGGUCAGGCUGCUCUCGAACUCCCGACCGCAGGUGAUCCGCCUGCCUUAGCCUCCCAAAGUGCUGGGAUUACAGGUGUGAGCCACCGUACCCAGCCUGGUCUUGGGACUAUUUUUAAGGACUUUGGAGCCAUCCUAGAAAUGAAGUCCUCUCAUAUGGAUCAAGAUUGGAAUAUCUAUCCUGUUAACCCACCAUCUGUGGAAAACCUAAUUCUCUAGGGAAAAUCAAGGAAUUAUACGAGAAUUAAACUGUGCUUUGUCUUUUUGGUAUAGAAAUGUUUUAAUUAAAGCUUUACAGAUAGAAAUAGUUAAAAGAAGGACUAAAAUUAAUAUCAAAGCAAUGAAAGUUGUGUAGUUUUUGUUGUUUUGUUUUUGUUUUGAGACAGAGUUUCGCUCUCGUUGCCCUGGCUGGGGUGCAAUGGCGCGAUCUCAGCUCACUGCAACCUCCACCUCCUGGGUUUAAGAAAUUCUCUUGCCUCAGCCUCCCAAAUAGUUGGGAUUAUAGGCAUGUACCACCACUCCCAGCUAAUGUUGUGUUUUUAGUAAAGAUGGGAUUUCACUCUGUGUAGGUAAGGCUGGUCUCAAACUGCCAACCUCAGGUGAUCCACCUGCCCCAGCCUCCCAAAGUCCUGGGAUUGUAAGCAUGAGCCACCGUGCCUGGCCAAAAAUUGUACAGGUUUUACUUAUUUUAAGCUCACAUUUGAUGUAAGAAUGUAAAAUUAAUGAAAUAUUACUCUCCUGUACUGGCUGUGUGUUUUCUGUAGUAUCUAAAAUAUGCAUCAAGGCCAGGCACACCUGUAAUCCCAGCACUUUGGGAGGCUGAGGCAGGUGGAUCAACCACUUGAGCCCCAGAGUUCGAGACAAGUUGGGCAACAUGGCAAAACCUUAUCUCCACAAAAAAAUAUAAAAAUUAUCUGCUAGUGGUGGCAUGGACCUGUGGUCCCAGCUACUUUGGAGGGUAAGAUGGGAGAAUGGCUUGAGCCCAGAUGGUCAUGCCUUCAAUGAGCUAAGAUCGCACCACUGCACUCCAGCCGGGGCACCAGUGUAAGACCCUGUCUCUUCAUAUAUAUAUAAAAUUUGUGAAGCAUGUGUGUGUGUGUGUAUAUAUAUAUAUGUGUGUGUGUGUGUUUGCAAACAUAUGUAUAUAUUUACAAACAUAUAUAAAGAUACACAUGCUUCACAAAUUUUACUUCUAUACAGACAUGGAGGUUUACAUUUCAGGUGAAUAAGACAGGCUCUGUGUAAAGCAAUUUGAGAAUAAGAAAGUUUUAUCUCUUUUUCUUGAGUGGCAUGAAAGUAUAAACAAAAAACUGUAUUUACCAUGGAAAACACAGCAUAUUCACAUUCAGUUUUGUGACCUUCACCUCAACUGGAUUAGCCAGGUAGUAUGUUAUUUGCUUAGAUUCCUGGGUCAGAUACGUCCUGUAUCUUUUAGCUUUUCUGUCAGCCAAAAAGGAAUAAUUAGGACACAGAAUCUGAAUUUUAAAAUAGAUUCAGUUUAAAUUAAAGGUUCCCUUGAAUUGAAGCUGAUUCCCUUCUUAAAGGUGAUUGAUAUUUAUGGUUUUUCAUUUUCUUUGUUAUCAAGAAUACUUCUAUUGUUUUACUACAAAAUUUUUAUAAAUAUCUUUGGAUUCUGUUUUUUCUGAGUUUAUGUGAUUAAGGUUUUAAGAAUAUCUAGACAUAGUACUUUUGACUUUUUCCAGACAAGAAACAAGGUACAUAAAUAUAUACCCACUCACAUUUACAAGCCUAGGAGAUGAAGUUUCAUGUAAUACAGACUUUGGCUUAAUUUUGUUUGGUUCUUACAUAUUUGUUUGCACUUAGAAAUAAUCCUUUGAAAAUGUGUCUCAGAAAAUCAUUAACAUUGAAAAAGGAAAUAUGAAAGACUUAGAAUUCUGAAAAUUAUAACAUAGUAGACUUUUUAAUUCAUUAUCAUUUGUGACUUCAACAUUUUUGUGAGAUUACUUUAAGAGCCAUAAUACUGUAACAUUUUGUAAUUUUGUGAAAGUCCUGAUUGUCAAUAUAUGCCCUGUGAGUCUUGGUAAAGAGUAAGUCUUGAUAAGCAUAGUUGUUUUUUCAGUAUGUAGAUUUAAAUUUAACUUUGUUUCUCGGUAGAAAAUAUAUCCAGGAAAAAAACCAACCACUAGUGCUGAUAUAUAAUUGAUGAAAACAUGAAGUCCAAGGACAUGAUGAUAUUUAACAAGGAAUGAGCAACUUCAGCUGGGUAUAGUAGCUCACACUGGUAAUCUCACAACUUUGGGAGGUUGAGGUGAGAGAAUUGCUUGAGCCCAGGAAUUCAAGACUAGCCUGGACAAUGUGGCAAGACCCUGCCUCUACUAAAAAUAAGAAAAUUAGCUGAGAGUGCUGGCAUACACCUGUGGUGCCAGCUACACAGAAUGCCAAAGCAGGCAGAUCACUUGAGCCCAGGAAUUCAAAACCAGCCUGGGCAACAUGGUGAAACCCUGUCGCUACAAAAAAAUAUAACAAUUAGCUGGGUAUAGUGGCACAUGCCUGUAGUCCCAGCUACUGAGGUGGGAGGAUCACUUGAGCCUGGGAAGUUAAGGCUGCAGUGAGCCAUGAGCAUGUCACUGUACCACUCCAGCCUGGGCAAAAGAGCAAGACCCUGUCUCAAAAUAUGAAUAAAUAAAUACAUUGAAGCACUCUUUAAAUUGGCAGAUUUAUGUUAUGAACCUAAAUUACUGUACACCUUAUAGAGACACCAAAGUGCUCCCUAAAACUAACCUAGUCAUUAUGUUAGCCAGCAAAUAUUUGCUUAUGUAAAGAUAAAACUUUACUAAGAAUUAGAAAGUACUAGAGCUUAUUACUUCAAUCCCAUAUUUGUAUAAUCACUUUCAUUUUUUGCAAGGAUUAUUCUGCAUUUUAUAGCUUUAAUUAUAUGUUACUCUGUAAAUGACAUUUGAAAAAGUUGUCUUAGGACAAACUUCAUAUACACUAAGGUCUGGAAUAAUGAGGAUGAGGAAAGACCAUAACUUUUAUAAUAUUAAUUUUUUUUUUUUUAGCCUGGGUAAAAAAGAGCAAAACUCCGUCUCAAAAAAAAAAAAAAAAGACCCAGGGCAUGUCACCCCACCCCAUAUUUCAGCCUGAACGCCACCUCUCCCACUGUCGCCUGCCCCAGCUGUCCUGCCAAGUGUUCCAGAGUCACUCCCCUGCACUUUUGUUUGUCUUUUCUGCACAGCUCAGUCUGUGACUAUGAAUUUGUACCUGUUGAGUUGGGCAAACUCUGCAAGACCAGUGCCCUGAGCCCGAGGCAGGGUGGGGAAAUCACCACUCACUCACUCUAAGGCUAACUUCCAUGCAAUGCUUCAUUUUGAGGUUCAGUCUUAGCAAAGGAGAGGAGAGGGCAGAAAACGGCACCAAGAAGCUUCCAUCUGCUGCAUGUCUUGCCUACGUCCUUGAUACCUUUCUUUUUUUUUUUAUACAAAACAACUUUUCUUUUUGGAAUGAAGGAGAGGAAGAAAGAGGAAGAAAAAAAGGGAGAGAGAACGGAAAUGUAGCUUUAUUCUAAAAAUGGGUAUUAAUAAUGGCCCUCAAAAUAAUUUUUUUUUUGAGACAGAGUCUUGCUCUGACGCCUAGGCUGGAGUGCAGUGGCAUAAUCUCGGCUCACUGCAAUCUCCAUCUCCUGGGUUGAAGUGAUUCUUCUGCCUCAGCCUCCCGAGUAGCUGGAACUACAAGCUCCUGACACCACACCUGGCAUUUUUAGUAGAGAGGGUUUCACCGCGUUGGCCAGGCUGGCCUCAGGUGAUCUACCCACCUCCGCUUUCCAAAGUGCUGGGAUUACAGGCAUGAGCCACGAAGCCCAGCCAAGAUUAAUUUUUUUUUUUUGAGAGUUUUGCUCUUGUUGCCCAGGUAGGAGUACAAUGGUGCAAUCUUGACUCAUUGCAACCUCUGCCUCCCGGGUUCAAGUGAUUCUCUCAAGUAGCUGGGAUUACAGGCACCCAAACCAUGCUCAGCUAAUUUUUUUUGUAAUUUUAAUAUAGAUGGGAUUUUACCAUGUUGGCCAGGCUGGUCUCAAACUCCUGAUCUCAUAAUCUGCCCGCUUUGGCCUCCCAAGUGCUCGGAUUACAAGUGUGAGCCACCACACCCGGCCCAUUUCAAGUUAUUUAUAAGUAUAUAACACAGAUUUCCAUCAACAAAUAAUUUUAUGUAUGUAUUCCAAAGCCCUUGGAUAUAGAGGAGAAAUGGGUAAUUUUUAGCAAGUUCUGGCCUGUCCUUUUCAAUUACAGUAGCUCAGGAAAUAUAGGUAUACCUCACUACUUGAACUCAGGAGAUUUGGAUAGCAGUACCGUAUGCCAAUAGAUUUCUCCGCUAAAGCUUAAGUCUAGAUUUUACUGCGUUCACCAGCCUCAGUGUUCCCACUCUGUGGGUAGCUGACAAUCUUCACAUAGUUUCUUGUAAUAAAAUACAAUGAAAUAGUGUUUAAAUGUCAAUUAGAUACUUCUUCCCUCUCUUUCCUUUCCUCCAUCCAUCCUCAGUUUAAUUAGUUACCCAGUACUUUUUCCACACCCACCAUUUGGAGGAAGUUUGUGAUAUCAGAGUGAGUUGAUGAGGGUACUAUUGAUUUCGCUGUGUUUCCUACUGCAGUCAUUCUCUGAAAAAUGAUCAAUGCUAUUGGAACUAUGAAAGCCAGUAACAGACUUGGCCUCAAAAGAUCCCAUUGAGGCCAGGUGUGGUAGCUGACAUCUGUAAUCCCAGCACUUUGGGAGGCCAAGGCGGGCGGAUCAUGAGGUCAGAAGAUCGAGACCAUCUUGGCUAACAUGGUGAAACCCUGUCUCUACCAAAUACAAAAAAAUUAGCCGGGUGUAGUGUCGUGUGCCUGUAGUCCCAGCUAUUCAGGAGGCUGAGGUAGGGGUAUCGCUUCAACCUGGGUGGCAGAGGGUGCCAUGAGCCAAGAUCAUGCCACUGCAGUCCAGCCAGAGCAAGAGAGCAAGACUCCAUCUCAAAAAAAAAAAAAAGAUCCCGUUGAGUGUUUUUUCUUGCACUAGUUAUAUAGUCAGUUUCCCGCUUGUAAAUUAUUACAGUGGGGGAUUUAUUAAGGAAAACAUCAUUUAAAAAUUGUAAUGGCUGCUAUAAACUGUCAUUUGCAGUUCUCAGCUGACAGUCAAACAGCUGCAAUCCGUUAGUGAGCUUUUACUUUCAGCUGCCAGAGGUCUUUCAACUCUUGUUCUCCUGGAAAUGAGGAGGGCUGGGCUGGAUGGGUUGAGGGGAAGUGAGGGUUGAAAUACGUAUUUUCUCAUACCAUAUUUUUCAUGCCUCCCCACAGUUUCCAUAGAAAUGGGAACAUAAAAACACCCCACCCAGACUUGGAAGAGAAAUCAUUUAUGUGUAAACUGCAGUAGAUGGAGGCACACAAAAUAAGCUAAUCUUAGAGUCUUUCCUUUACUUAUAUUUGGCCAAGAGUAAUUUCAGAUAGAUUCUCAUUUGAUUUACUCUGCAUAUAAAAAAUGAGUUGAUAUUGCUUUUAAUCAGUUUUUAGAAAGUUUGAUAUUACCUUUUUUUCUGAAAUGAGAAUUCUCUUGAACAUACUUUGAUUGAUUGUUAGGUACGUUAUCUGUUGUUUAUGUGUUAAAUCUGGCAAGCAUGGUGUUUUAACUUUCCUCUCAUGUUUGUUCUCUCCAAGAUUAAAUAAAUGAAUUCCAGCCUGGCUAAUAUGGUGAAAUCCCAUCUCUACUAAGAAAAAAAAAAAAAUAGAAAAGUUAGCCGGGUGUGGUGGUGCGCACCUGUAGUCCCAGCUACUCAGGAGGCUGAGACAGGAGAAUCACUUGAACCCAGGAGGUGGAGGUUGCAGUGAGCCGAGAUCGUGCCACUGCACUCUGGGCCUGGGCAACUCCAUCUCAAAAAAAAAAAAGAAAUUAUUUUUAGCCUGGGUGCAGUGGUUCACGCCUCCAAUCCCAGCACUUUGGGAGACUGAGGCAGGCAAAUCACUUCAGGUCAGGAGUUUGAGACCAGCCUGGCCAACAUGGCAAAACCCCGUCUCCACUAAAAAAAAUACAAAAAUUAGCCAGGGUGGUGGCACAUGCAUGUUAUCCCAUCUACUUAGGAGGAUGAGGCAGGAGAAUUGCUUGAACCCAAGAGGCAGAGGUUGCAGUGAGCUAAGAUUGCACCAUUGCAUUGCAGCUUGGGCGAGAAAGCAAGACUCUGUCUCAAAAAGAAGAAAAAAAAAUGAAUUUUGAUUUAGGGAAUGCUCCAAUUGCAGAGUAUAAAAAGUCUUCUCAAAUAGUCUUAUUCUUAUGCAUUAUUUUAGAAAUUGCCCCCCAGAACAGAAGUAAUUAUUAGCUCUGUCAAACAUAUCAGAGAAAACUGCCAAAUUUAAUUAGUUAUCACAAUUUUCUCAUUUAGGUAACAAGAAUAUCCUGUGUUAAGUGCAUUUCUAUGUUUUCCACUUAUCAGCUCUGUGUGAUCACAUUAUCUCCUAUAACACCCAUACUCAGGGAAAAUAUAUGGGCAUAGUCUUCAUCUGUUUCUUUUAUUCCAGCAUUUAACUAACAAAUUCCAUUUGAAUCAUGACACAGCAAGAAUAUGCUUAACUAAAUAAAUCUGCUCUAGGCAUCUACUAAGUAUUCAGCUUUAUGUUAGGUUGCAGUAGAUACCAAAUGUAAGUAAGGCAGGAUUUUUUGCCUUAAGACAUCACAAUGGAGUUUGGAUAAUUCAUACCCCAGGAAUAGCUCAUAACAGCCAUAUGUGAUUAUUACGAGUGACUUAAACUAAUUCCAUGACUAGGAAAACUUGCUUCCUUUCCCUUUCUACUGUCACCUUUUUCACAAAGUCUCUUUCUCUUGAUCUAUUUUCAUAGCUUCCUAAAUAUCCUUUUAAUUGCUCCCUUUCUCCCUCCUUCCCUCCCUCCCUCCCUUUCUUUCCUUUUCCUUCUCUUUCUCUUUCUCUCUUUUUCUUUCUUUCUUUUUUCUUUUUCUCUCUUUCUCUCUUUCCUUUCUUUUUUUUCUCUCUUUCUUUCCUUUCUCUCUCCUUUUUUUUUUUUUCAGGACCCCACUCUGUCACCUAGUCUGGAAUGCAAUUGCACGAUCAUAGCUCACUGUAAACUUUUCUGGGCUUAAGGGAUUCUUCUGCCUCAGCCUCUGGAGUAGCUGGGACUACAGACCCCACUAACCAUUCCUGGCUAAUUUUUUUUUUUUUAUUUUUUGUAGAGAUGGGGCCUCACUUUGUUGCCCAGGCUGGUCUUGAACUCUUCAGCUCAAGUGAUCCUUACACCACAGCCUCCCAAAAUACUAGGAUCACAAGUGUGAGCUCCUGUACCUAACUCUUUCUUCUUUUCUUUAUCUUCCCUUCCACUUUAGCGUAUAUGUGAUUUCCAGAUUCAUAUUUGUAAAAACACAAUUUUGAUCGUUUAAGCAUUUUAAAACCUCAGUGAUCUCUUCACAUCAUUGUGACAAGACUUUUCUUUUAAAAGACAGUUCCAAUGUCAAAUAUUCUGCCUCAUAAGCCUGGCUACCAAAACAAUCCAAAAACUUUUAGUAUUUUAGGUUCUUUCAUAUUCCAAAUUGCUUCUCUUAUCCAGAAUGGAUGAAAACAUCUGUUAAGACCAUCUGCCUGAUUUUUAUUUCAGAAAAUAUGGCCACUGAGCUAGCAACUACCAAAAUAGGUUCAUGCUUUCAGUGUUUGGCAGCAACCUAGACAGUCUUCAGGCUGGCUUCAGUGUAUUCUUUCCAGCCUGUUCUGCAGGUGCCUUCUGCCAGGUCAUCUAGCUUCUCACCCAAACAAACAGGACUGCUUGGCACAGUUAGUAGACCCACAUUUUAUAGCUCCAUGCCUUUGCUUAUGGAAGUUUCCUUUGGAAUGAGGAAAGAUAUAAGCAAUAAUGAGUUGUUUCUUCCAUCCGGAACAUCUUUCCCCGCCUUAUACCCUUCUCAUAGCCCUACUCUAGGUAAUACUAUCUGUAAUUUACAUUAACACACCCCAGUCUACACAGUGUGUUAGUCUACCCCUUGGACGUGGCCGAUGAACAUUUGACGCACACUGAUAUAAGAAUACAUCAUGUAAGGAUAGUUGUUUGACAUUGGAGAGACCCUAAUCAGGAGAUAACUACUGUCAAUUUAACUUGCUUAUCUUUAAAUCUACACCCAAGGGUCUUCUAGUUAGCAUAAAGGAUGUCAGAAAUAAUUUCAAAUUGGAUUGGUUGGAAAUACCAUACAGGUUCCUCUGGCCCUGCAUGAAUUGCACAUAAGAUUCUGGCAAGGCGGGUAGCCUAACGCCUGCAUGGUGGCACCUGAGCCAGUGCACCAUUUGGGCCUGUUGACUACCACCCUAACAGAAGAUGCUUCCUACCUGGGAGAAAGGUAGGAGACCUAAUGGCCACGCCUGUCUGCAGUCCUUGGAGGCACUGAUACAUGCCCUCCUCCUCCCCCACCAAAACAAAAUAAAACAAAAAAUACCCUGACACUUUGGAAUGGUCAGUAGCAAAACCUCCCUCCAGGACAAUGCUUGCAUGCUGUCUCUCCCUUCAAGUCUACCCUAACUUUCCUGAUGGAUUUGUUAACUCAUUCUCCUCUACACCAUCAUAGAAUGAGGCUUAUAUUUCUGUUAUGGCAUUAAUAAAAUUUUAAAGUUUAUUGUAAGUUUCUUGAUGAACAGACUGUGUCAUAACUUUCUUUGUAUCUUACAUAGCAUGUGGCAUAGUGCCUUGUACACAGUAGAUAUUUGUUGAAUUAAUGAGCAUAUGUAUGUACUUAACAAUUCUGUAAGGAACAGAUCCAGCUUUGGGUCAUAGGAAUACUGGGAGCCAAUAUGUGAGUUCUUAGACUUCCAUUAAUUCACUGUUCACAGUUCUAAGGGAGUCAGUGGUAAUUUGUCCAUAACUACAUGGCUCUAAUUAGCCAUCGGUGCAAAGACACAUUGGGAUUGCUGUCAACAGUGUAGGAAAGCAGUGCGGUCUACGUUGUCUUCUUUCAGAAACUCAUACCUAAAUGUAUUUCAUACUGCUGUUCUUCCAACUCUGGCUCUAGGUAAUAAAGAAGGGGAAAUAUUUAGGACAAUUAUUUUUCUUGUUCUAUAUAUCUUAGCCAAUUUGAAGCAGUAUAUAUAACUUACCAAGUACACCAGGAGAAAAGUAAAAGAGGGGCAAUUAUAGCACACAGAUUUUAAAAACAAAGCAAAAUUAAACACUUAAUCUUAGUAACAUUAUAGUAUAGUGAAGAAUUCAAAGCAAGGAUUUUGAACCCAGACUGCUUGGAUUCAAAUUAAUCCCCACCAUAUUAGCUGUGUGGCCUUGGGCAAGCUAUUUAACCUUUCUAUGCUUUUGUUCUUCUUCUGGUAAAUGAAGAUGAUAGAAUAGCACCACCUCAGAGACGUGAGGCUAAAAUGAACUGAUACAUGUAAAGCAUAUAGUACUCAGUCCCUGGCACAGGACGUGCUGGAUGUGCUUGCUAUUCCUGCAGUGAUACGGUUCAGUCAUAGGUCCAAAGGCAGAAGCCUGCUAAUUUCCGUCAGUGUGCAGUCCUUCUGUCUCGUGUUUUGCAGUUCCCCACCCCCAAAGGAGUCAUCUUCAUGCCUUGAAGCCACUACAUAUUGGUGCCUACACCUUUCUUGUGAGACCUGUCACAUUCUACCCUAAAUUAUAUAAUUAUUUGUAAGGUCCUUAAAAGCAGACAUCUUCUUUGUCUUCCUCGCAGCACCCGGCAGAAUGAUUAUAUAACAGCCUUGCUCACACAGUAGCUCUUUGCUAACUGUUUGGGGAAACUAUGAACCUCUGUGAGGUUGGUCCCUGGAGGCCCUGCACCUUGGACUGGUUCCUGGGUACCUCUCAUACUCUUCAGUUUCAGCUAGCAAAGUCUUCCCGCACUGUACUCCGGCAACUGGCCUUAAGUCCCUUCAACAUGCAUCCUUUUCCAAAACUGGCUUCAUGUGUAUAUGACCUGUGCAGCCACAUAGGUCCCCACACUUGGCUGAAUGCUCCCUCACUAGCUUGAAAUUCUUAGUUUCUGUGUUCCAUUUUUAUCUUGCACAGAGCCUGCAAAUUGUGUAGCUGGUCUUGCUCUUCGUCAUCCUGUGCUCAUCAUUCCCUGUGCCUGGAACACCCUUUCUCCCUAAUCCUCACUGGCUAACCUGCUCUUCAGGGCUCAGCUUCAUUGUCAUUUCUUAGAAAAGCAGUAAAAAUUAGAUCCAUGUACUAGUAUCCUUCCAUUUUUUCUUCUCUCUGAGAGCACUUCACUUACUUUGUAAAUACAGUAUUUAUUUAAAUUGUGAUUAUUUCUUUUAAGACUUUCUCCCCACCAGACUAUAAACUCCUCCAGGGGAUAGUCUUUGUUCCAGGAUCACUAUGCCUGCUACAUAGUAAACAGUAAAUAAAUACUUGUUGAAUGAGUGAGUGAAUAAGUCAUUUUUAGAAAUGCAAAGUUGUGGCCGGGUGCAGUGACUCACGCCUAUAAUCCCAGCCCUAUGGGAGGCUGAGGCAGGCGGAUCACUUGAGGUCAAGAGUUUGAGACCAGCCUGGCCAACAUGGCAAAACCCUGUCUCUACUAAAAGUACAAAAAAAUUAGCCAGUAGUGGUGGUGUGCGCCUGUAAUCCCAGCUACUCAGGAGGCUGAGGUAGGAGAAUCGCUUGAACCCAGGAGGUGGAGGUUGCAGUGAGCUGAGAUCACACCACUACACUACAGCCUGGGCAACAGAGCAACAUUCUGUCUCAAAAAAAAAAAAGAGAGAGAGAGAAAAGAAAUGCAAAGUUGUAUGGAUAAGCCUUUCUUCCCAAGAGUUAAAAAGUUGAUAUAUAUCCAGCGCCCGCGAUGACUGCCACUCUCCGCCCCUAUCUGAGUGCCGUGCGGGCCACACUGCAGGCUGCCCUCUGCCUGGAGAACUUCUCCUGUCAGGUUGUGGAACGACACAACAAGCCGUAAGUGGAAGUCAGGAGUAGCAAAGAACUCCUGUUACAACCCGUGACCAUCAGCAGGAAUGAGAAGGAAAAGAUUCCGAUUGAGGGCUCCAUCAACUCUGUCUGGGUCAGCAUUGCUGUGAAACAGGCUGAUGAGAUCAAGGAGAUUUUAUGCCACAAAUUCAUGCGCUUCAUGAUGAUGUGAGCAGAAAACUUCUUCAUCCUUUGAAGGAAGCCUGUGGAGGGGUGUAUGACAUCAGCUUUCUGAUCACCAACUUCCACACAGAGCUGAUGUACAAACACAAGUUGGUGGACUUUGUGAUCCCCUUCAUGGAGGAGAUUGACAAGGAGAUCAGUGAGAUAAAGCUGUCAGUCAAUGCCUGUGCCCGCAUUGUGGCUGCGGAGUUCCUUAAGAAUUUUUAAACCAUCUGGCUGGAUCUUGUGGCCUUCCCCCUCAGACUCCCCAUGUCUCCAUGAAGGCAUCCUGAAGUCACUCCCCAGAACAGCAACAGCUGCAGCAGGGAGCUGGGUUAGGGUGGGCAUUUGAUAUGGGAGGUGGGUGGUAUGCUUGCUAGCUGGGCAAGAAAGCAGCAGUGGACGUGCCCCAAGGCCACACGUGCCUGGUCAGGCUGGCCUCUGAUGUUCAGUCCCCUGGGCCGGGACAGAUUUUUUGUUAACGUCUUGAAACUUAAACUCUGUGCUUAGAGGAGACUGUAAUCUUUUUGUCUUUUUUUUUUUUUUUUUAUUUAAACAAACAACCUCCACCUCCAGUGGCUGUGACUGGUCCCAGUGAUUGUCCCUUAUUGGUUGCUGUGGGUCUGGGCAGGCCUGGAGCCCAGAAGGCGAUUAUUUUUCCUCUCCUAUGCCAUCCCACGUGGGGAGGGAGGGAGGUUUCAGACUCCAGUUCCUCUCCCUUGCUCUUUUAUUCCGAAGCCUCCUUGGACCCAGUAUAAGUGGUGGGAACCCUCUGCCAGCUUCCUGAGUUCUGCCUGAAGAUGGCCACCCAGCACUGGUUAGGGACAAGGGCCAAAUUGGUGACCACCAGUCAUGCCUAGGACCUGGGGCCCAAAAGCCAGGCAACCUCAGGCUAUAGGGGCCAUUGGGUACCCUCCCAGUUGAGAGGGGCCGCUGUUUCGCCUUGUCUGUCAGUGCAGUGCCUGCUAUAGGUGGCGAGGUGAGUCCUCCUCCAGAGCUUCCCAGCCGGGUCCUCCUCCUGCCUGCUCUGGCUUCUCUGUUCCCAUGCUAGCUGUCCCUUUUCUAAUUCUGGUGGAUCCUCCCUCCCCUAAUUAAAGUCUCUUUUUGCCCCUUUGGGGCUGCAUGAGGAAAAAAAAAAAAGUUGAUAUAUAAAAAUGGCAAUGCAAGGCCAGGCAUGGUGGCUUACACCUGUAAUCCCAGCACUUUGGAAGGCCGAGGUAUACAGAUCACUUGAGCCCAGGAGUUCAAGACCAUCUGGGGUAACAAAGUGAAACCCCACCUCUACAAAAAAAUUAGCCAGGCAUGGUGACAUAUGCUUGUGGUCCUAGCUAUUCAGGAGGCUGAGGUGGGAGGAACCCUAGAGCCUGGAAAGCCAAGGCUGAAGUGAGCUGUGAUUGCAUCACUACACGCCCCCCUGAGCAACAGAGCGAGACCCUGUCUCAAAAAACGAAAAAAAAUAAAAAAUAAAAAGGCAGUACAAUCUUCAUGCAGUUUAAUACUGCUGGUGAUGGCAUUUAACCAGUUUUACUUACUGUCUUUAAAAGUGGAUGAAUACACUAAAAUUCCCCAUUUUUCUUUUCUACUGUUUGCCCUUCUCAUAUAGUCUGGUAUAGUACAGUUGAAUCUCUCUAAAGUCAGAUUUACUCAGGUUGUCUUAUACAUUAGUUUCAAAUUAAAUUUCUUAGAGCAUAAAUGUCUAUAGCCUCCUGCCUCUUGUAUUUUUAGCAAGAGAUAUAUAUUUAUUUUUGAUCUAAUUACCGGUGACAGCUGACAUGAAAGUACUGCUUCAGGUUCCUUAACAUUCUGUGGUGGAAAGGCCAGUACUAUUACAAUGGAGUGGGGCCGGGCGCGGUGGCUCACACCUGUAAUCCCAGCACUUUGGGAGGCCAAGGCGGGUGAAUCACUAGGUCAAGAGAUCGAGACCAUCCUGGUCAACAUGGUGAAACCCCGUCUCUACUAAAGAUACAAAAAAUUAGCUGGGCAUGGUGGCGUGUGCCUGUAAUCCCAGCUACUCAGGAGGCUGAGGCAGGAGAAUUGCCUGAACCCAGGAGGCGGAGGUUGCGGUGAGCUGAGAUCGCGCCAUUGCACUUCAGCCCGGGUAACGAGCGAAACUCCGUCUCAAAAAAUAAUAAUAAUAAUAAUAAUGGAGUGAGCACUUGAUAAUAAUAGAGAACAAUGUCCUACUUGGUUUUCCCAUCAUUCUUCCUCUCCUUUCUUAUUGUCUAUGUUUAAAGAAGCUUAAUUAACUCAGAAUGCAGAGCUGUAUCAGCUUUCUGUAGUCCAAUUUUGGAACUGCUUAGUCUACUCCCUGGAAUCAGACCAAUAUCAUUCAACAUGUAACCAGAUUUAAUGCGUGCCAUCUUACAGUCUCAGCGUUCAGUGCUUGGUAGUCAUUCCAUUACUUUCCAAAUACUGUACUAAAAUUUUAAGUGUAAAUUUCUAACCAAAAACUCAUUUAGAAAUGGAAUUCUACUUGAGAUUUACAGUGGAUUUUGAGUACCUCCCCCCAAAAGAAAUUUUAAAAAUCCAACAUGGUAUACUAAGUUGUUAUUAUUGCUUAAUAUUUGCAAAGAGAAAAAGAGUCAGAAUUUUCAUAACUUAGCCCCACAUUGAGAAUAAUCAGUACAGUGAGAGAAUAAUUUUUAUUGCUUAAAAGAAAAAGAGGCUAAAUGUCUUUUUUAAUUUCCUUCAAGUGUAAAGAAUCUGAGAAAAACAGAUUUUAAAACCAAUAGAAGGAAUGGUCAUGAUCCAGCAGCAACUGCUGCAUGUGGGUGAAGAAAAGAAGACAGCAUUAUUUGUACAAAUCCAUAUGGGAUGCAGCGGGAACAGAAAGAAACAAGAAGUAUAGUAACAGAGAAGGAGGGCACUCCCAGUGAAGAUGUAGCCCUCAAAAAAUGUUCCAUCUAAGCACUGACUGAUUCCAGUACCUUCAGGUGAUUUGCUUUAAGUUGUAAAUCUUCAGAAUGGUUUAUGCUCUCAAUGCUUUUUUUCAGAAGGCUGUGAGAUGAGGAAAAAUAUAUUAUUUUCAGUCUGCCCCCUCUUAAGACUUUAUGGAAUUUUAAGGAGGCUUCUCCCAGAGUUAAAUUCCUGAUUCAACCACCCCAGAGUCUAUUUGACCAUCUCUCUCUCUUUCUCUCUCCUUUUUUUUUUCUAGCUUGCCCAGAAAGAUCAAAGUAAAGGUAUUCUUUUGUUUUGUUUUGUUUUGUUUUUAAUCUCCUACUUUAUGCCUAAUAAUGGGGCAGAUAUCUUAGGUUCAUUCUCUCUCAGUUAUGUGUUAACAGCAUCUCCAUUCUUGAGUUGAUUAGCUCAGUUAACUGUUGCAGGCUACUGAUCAGGCUUAUUAGAGGUCCUAUGUUUGAGAGCUAUGCGUGCUGGCUGGAUGACAGUCAAUGUAGAUGAGAGUCAUGUAACAUAGUGUAUGAUUAAGGCUUUAACUCUGGUGUCAGAAGGACCUUUUGGGAAGCUGGGUGCAGGGGUAUGCGCCUGUGGUCCCAGAUACUCGGGAGGAUGAGGCAGGAGGACUCCUUGAGCCCAGCAGUUCAUAGCCAGCCUGGCAACAUAGUGAAACCUCGUCUCUUAAAACAAAAGCCUGUAGGAUCUGCCAUUAUGAUGGGAUCUAUGCGUGUUACCUAGUUUUUCUUGGUUUACUCAGUUUAUAAAACGGGUAUAGUAACGCCCAGUUUACUUUUGUGAGACUUAAGUAAUAUAAAAUAUGCUAAAUGCUGACCGAGCACGGUGGCUCACGCCUUUAGUCCCAGCACUUUGGGAGGCUAAGGUGGGAGGAUCACCUGAGGCCAGGAGUUCGAGAUCAGCCUGGCCAACAUGGUGAAACCCCAUCUCUACUAAAAAUACGAAAAUUAGCUGGUGUGGUGGCAGGCACCUGCAAUCCCAGCUACAUGGGAGACUGAGGCAGGAGAAUCACUGGAACACAGGAGUCAAGGUCACUUGACCUGGCUAAAAAAUUAGCCAGGCAUGGUGGUGGGUGCCAGUAGUCCCAGCUACAGGCUAAGAGGUGUAAGAUCACUUGAGACCAGGAGGUCAAGGCUAUAAUGAGCCAUGAUUACACUACUGCACCCAGCCUAGCCUGUUUAAUUUUUUUCUUUCUUUCUUCUUUUUUUCUUUUUUGAGAUGGAGUUUUGCUCUUGUCACCCAGGUUGGAGUGCAAUAAUGCGAUCUCCGCUCACUGCAACCUCUGCCUCCUGGGUUCAAGCGAUUCUUCUGCCUCAGCCUACCAAGUAGCUGGGAUUACAGGCACCUGCCACCACGCCCAGCUAAUUUUUUUUGUAUUUUUAGUAGAGACGGGGUUUCACCAAGGUCAGGCUGGUCUCGAACUCCUGACUCAGGUGAUCUGCCCGCCUCAGCCUCCUAAAGUGCUGGGAUUACAGGUAUGAGCCACCAUGCCUGGCCAGCCUGUUUUAUUUCUAAACCACCCCAAAUAGAGUAUCAAAGAGAAAUUGUGCUGCUCAAAUUGUUCUUGAAGAAUAUGGUUUUUCUCUUUGUUAAAACUUAAUUUUAUUCUUAUAUCCAAACUGCUUAUAUAAAUAGAUUCUUGAAAUAUUUUGGGACACUAAAAUAGUUUUUCCUGAUCUUACAAAUUUCUUCUCUCCUAAAAUUUAUUUAUAAAUUGGUUGUUUGAAACUCAGAAUGGAUAUUCCCUUAGGAAGUGGUGGUUGUGUUCUCAGGCCAAUUCAUCAAAGCUUCUCUAGCUUGUCUCUUAAUUCUCCCUUUCUAGUGCUUAAUGUUUUAAUUUAGUGGUUUUCAAAUGGACAGUAUAUCAAAAUUGCCUGAGGUUUUCAAAUGGACAGUAUAUCAAAAUUUGUAAAGAUAAAGGUACUUGUACAAAAAAAAUAGAAAGAAUGAAUAAGACCUAGUGUUUGAUAGCACCGCAGGGUGACUAUAGUCAAUAAUAAUUUAAUUGUACAUUUAAAAAGAACUAAAAGAGUAUAACUGGGCUGGGUGUGGUGGCUGGCCUCUGUAAUCCCAGCACUUUGGGAAGCUGAGGCAGUCAGAUCACUUGAGCCCAGGGCUUCAAGACCAGCCUGGGAAACAUAGCAAGAUCCUGUCUUUACAAAGAAUUAGCCAGACAUGGUGGCGGGUGCCAGUAGUCCCAGUUACAGGCUAAGAGGUGGGAAGAUCACUUGAGCCCAGGAGGUCAAGGCUACAGUGAGCCAUGAUUACACUACUGCACCAGCCAAGGUAACAGAGUGAGGCCCUGCCUCCAAAAAAUAAAAAAAAUAAAAAGAAAUAAGAGAGUGUAAUUGGAUUCUUUACACAGAAGAUAAAUGCUUGAGGGGAUGGAUACCUCAUUUUACCUGAUGUGAUUAUUACACAUUACAUGCCAGUUUCAAACCAUCUCUUGUACCCCAUAUAUAUGUAAAAGUCCUCUGUGGCUGGAGCAGAGACUGGUUGUCUCUAAACUCCUUUUUGUGUUGUUGUUGUUGUUGUUGUUGUUGUUGAGACAGAGUCUCGCUCUGUUGCCAGGCUGGAGUGCAGUGGCGUGAUCUCAGCUCACAGCAACCUCUACCUCCCGGAUUCAGGCAAUUCUCCUGCCUCAGCCUCCCAAGUAGCUGGGAUUACAGGCACGCGCCACCACAUCCGGCUAAUAUUUUUGUAUUUUUAAAAGAGACGGGGUUUCACCAUGUUGGCCAAGAUGGUCUCGAUCUCUUGACCUCAUGAUCCACCCACCUUGGCCUCCCAAAGUGCUGGGAUUACAGGCGUGAGCCACCACACCCGGCCCCCUUCUCUAAACUCUUUCUUGUGAUCCUUGUCAGUGAAAGUCAUAUGUACCCACACCACCAAUAUAUGUAUAUUCAUUUUUAAAUAAAUUAACUACCUGUACUACAAUAAGAUAAGCACAAAUAUUUUUUAAAAGAUGAAAUAUAAAGUUCUUCCUAUAAUCAUGUUCUAAAAACAGAACAUGAAAUUCUAAUAAUCACCUGUUGCUUUCUGUACCUAUUUGGAUAGUUUUACGUACUUUCUGGAAUGGACAAACCACACUUUUGCAAAAUAUAGGCAUAGUUAAGGGGAGGUAGAUAGAGAUUAGAUUCUAUAGGAUCAGCAGAGCCAAGAAUUUCUUUAUCCUAAGUGCAAUAGGAAGCAACUGGAAAAUUUUAGGAAGGGAAAUGAUGGCAGAUUUCCACCUUGGAAAAGAUCACUUUGGCAGCCCAAUAGCAAAAAGAUGUAAUAAAGCAACCAUGAACAUGGGGAGUCCACUUUGGAAUUUAUGGCACUAGCUCUGAUGAAAGGUGAGUAUGGCUUGAAUUGGGCAUUGCCAAUGAAGUUCAGAACAAAAACAAGAUAGAUAUUUUGGAGACAUACAGUAGUAGAGAGUCUAGUGAUGGAUUGCCUGAGCAUUGGUUGGGGGAGAAGACAGUGGUGACUUGUGGGUUUCUGGCUUGAGCUUCUAGAUGGAAGUCAAACAAUGGCAGAAGAACAAAUUGGGGACAGAAAGUGGGGCGUUAGUCCAGGCUUAAAGGUCUUGAAUGUGAACCAUCAAAAUGAUAUGAAGUUUGCAAUUGGAUAUGUAGGCUGAGCUUAGUAGAAGUUCUGGGCUGAAAACUAUAAAUUGAAGAGUUGUCAACAUAAAGUACAGAAACCCCUCUACCCCCAGAUAUUAUUUACUGAUGGGAAAUCUCUAAAGCAGAAGUGCCAAGGAGUUCCACAAAAAUAUUAAACAAAAUUAGACUUACAGGACCAAAGAUGAGGAAUUAAAAAUGAACAGGUAGGCAGAUUCUAUAAAAUGCAAGUCUCCUAAAGUUGCUACAGCAUUGGGACCACAGCUUAUAUUAGAAUGUGGCAAAUAAAGUAGAAAUCAAUAUUUCAGAAGCUCUCAGGGACUCUUUAUGAGCACACUACAUUCUGGAGUAAGCCAUGAACACUGGAAAGUGGCUCAUGUCAUACAAGUAUUCAAAAUGAGUCCAGGAAGCUGUCAAAAGUGUACACACCAUUAGGCUUGAGUAAUAGGGAAAACUAGACAUGUCAGACGAGAUUAAAGCAGGUACAGCCCCAUAGAUUGUAGGUUAGUGUGAAUUCAGGAGGAGAAUGCCUGGGAAUUUGAUGUCUGUAUAAGCCUUGGGAAUUAUGUUAGAGUUGCAAGAGGUAAGGAUGUCCUUUGUCCCCACCUCCUUAAACCAUUAUGCUCCUUAAGUAUUAGAAUACAACUCAUAAUCAUUUACAGGCUCUUAGGUUCUCUGAAGGUUUCCCCCCACCCCCAAGACACAUGGGGCAAAAUCUUGUUUAAUAUGUUCCCUCUCCUCCUAGUGCUGAAAGCUUAAAACAAAGUGGCUUGUUUUGCUGAUCACUGUGAAGAGGAUGAAGUGAAGCCUAUGGAUAUGUCCCCGCUCUUGAUGGAUGCCUUCUGAUUCCUUUUCAUCUGUUCCUUCCCAAGCCAUUUAUAGUACUGCAAACUGACUGUUAGAAUUUUGGUUACCACUGAUCCACUUUAUGUCCAGAUCUUGAUAAGUCCUUGAAGAAAUAACUGUGACUCUGACUUGAAAACUCUCAGCAACCCCCAACUUUCCAAGGAAAGUGAUACUGUAUUACAUAUCUAUUUUUUCUCUGUCCAUUGAUUAAUAUAUUAAAUAAGAUAGUUUACAUUCAUCCUAAGAAAUUGGCUGAAGUGAGCAAGAGCCACACAUAGUGGCUGCUACCUUUGGCCUAUAUUAUAUUGCUUUUCUAGGCACUUGAACUGAGCACCAGGAAUCUUCAUUUCAGAAAAUAUUAACUUGGGUCAUAUCAAUCUUUUAAAAAGAAAAAACACGGUGAUGUACGUUACCAGCAUUUGCAUCCACAAAUUAAUAUUUUUGUGUGUUUCAUUUCUGAGUUACAGAAGCAGAUUCAUCAAACCCUUAAUGAUAGCUCUUGCAGGUGACUGGCCCAAUGUUAAAACUGAGCUCAGUGGCUGGGCACAGUGGCUCAUGCCUGUAAUCCCAGAACUUUGGGAGGCCAAGGUGGGUGGAUCAUGAGGUCAGGAGUUCAAGACCUGGCCAACAUGGUGAAAUCCCAUCUGUACUAAAAAUACAAAAAAUUAGCCAGGCUUGGUGUCUUGUGCCUGUAAUCCCAGCUACUCAGGAGGCUGAGGCAGGAGAAUCGCUUGAACCCAGGAGGCAGAGGUUGCAGUGAGCCGAGAUUGCACCACAGCACUCCAACCUGGGCAACACAGUGAGACUCCGUCAUAAAAAAAAAAAAAAGAAAAGAAAAAAAAUCUGAGCUCAGGGGAAAUGCUGUGUUUUGACUGGGCAAGGAAGCUUGCAUAAACCAGUCAUCAUGAAAGCCCUCCUCACUGAGGUGCUUCUCCCUCUGCAACCUUCCAUCCCACAAAUUUCUUCUUGAUCAUCUUUGUACCUUUGAUAAAUAUCUGUUAUUGCACUUAUGAAACUAGAUGAUAACUAGAUACAUAAUUGGCACUAUGCCUAGACUGUCAGCUUCUUACGCAGAUUUACUUUUUGUGCCAGGAAGUAGAACAAAGUAGUUAAAGAGGGCAGGCUUUGGAGGCCAACUUGAUUUCAUGUCUGACUAUUUACUAGCACUGUGAUCUUGGGCAGGUUACCUAUCCUCAACUUAUUUGUAAAAUCUAAAUAAUACUUACCUCGCAGAGUUGCUGUCAGGAUUAAAUGUAGAUUUUUCUAAAUUAUAGGCUUAAAACUGUUAGGAAAUUUUUUGACAUGAAGGAAUUCCAUACUUAAUGCCAAUUACUGCUAAUGAAUAACAAAGCAGAAGGAAGUGGACUUCUGAAUGAAUCACUGCAGUGCUAAAACGUGCACACUGGUCCAGGCCUCUCCUCGUCUUUAUUGACAGUUUAGCUCAGUGGUUUUUAGUAUGAACCCCACAUCUUCUCAAGCAUGUAUCCCUCAAACCUACCAGCCCCCAACAUCCACACCUGGUUUAGAAAGGUGUGUGGACAUCCUGUUUGUCACAGUGACAGCUAUUACUGACAUUUAAUAAGUGAAAUCAUAAAUGGGCCCAGGGAUGCCAUGGGCUCAGAAAUGGAGAGUGGAGUCUACAUACCAAAAAUUACUCCACCGAAAAUGCCAAUAAUACCUUACCUUGAUAAACAGUGGUAGUGCCCAGGUUCUUUUCUCUGCUUAAAUGCAAAACCAACUUUUCACAAAAUUAAUAUACUAUUUGAUAAAAAUCAGGCUAUGCCAAAGAGCAUGCUGUAUAUAUUACAGAGCAUAACUUGAAAAAUCUUUUCAUGUGUAUUCUGUUAUGUUAUUUCUUUCUUUUCUGUGUACAAGUUCUCUGUAGGUUACUAUAAUGAGUUUCAAAUGUGUUAAGAGUUCCAUUAUUCCAUUAAUUAUGAUCCGAAGUUUAAGAUCUGUGGUGUUGAAAAGCACUGCAGUUCCUAAAUAUACACAGCCCUUGAACUCCUAACUGUACAAAGAUCUUGCUGGGGCCAGGAAUGGUAGCUCACACCUGUAAUCCCAGCACUUUGGGAGGCUGAGGUGGGAAGAUUGCUCGAGCCUUGGAUUUUGAGACCAGCCUGGACCACAUAGUAAGACCCUGUCUCUUAAAAAAAAAAAAAAAAAAAAAAAAAAAAAAAGCAAGGCAUCGUGGUGUGCCCCUAUAGUCCCAGCUACCCAGGAAGCUAAAGUGGGAGGAUCACUUGAGUCCAGGAGUUCAAGGCUGUGAUUGCACCAUUGCACCCCAGUCUGAGCAACAGAACAAGACCCUGUCUCUCAAAAAAAAAAAAAAGAUGAUUGAGUUUGAUAAUCAGGAAACCUAACCAAAUCUUUUAUGUAAGCAAAUAAAUAUGUUUUUAUUUGUUUGUUUUGUUUCGAGACAGGGUCUCACUCUGUCACCUAGGCUGGAGUGCAAUGGCGUGAUCUCACCUCACUGCAACCCAGCCUCCCAGGCUCAGGCGAUCCCCCCACCCACCUCAGCCUCCCAAGUAGCUGGGACUACAGGCAUAUGCCACCACACUCAGCUAAUUUUGUAUUUUUUGUAAACACAGGGUUUCACCAUGUUUUCCAGGCUGGUUUUGAACUCCUAAGCUCAAUUGAUCCACCCACCUUGACUUCCCACAGUGCUGGGAUUAAAAGCAUGAGCCACCACACCCAGCCAAAAUAUGUUUUGUUGGAAAUAACUCACUUUGGAAGGCUGAGGAGGGCAGAUCCCUUGAG
Non-coding RNA from Callithrix jacchus (white-tufted-ear marmoset), 27129 nucleotides. Lineage: Eukaryota; Metazoa; Chordata; Mammalia; Primates; Cebidae. The record is from RefSeq and is a predicted model, not a curated record.